AUUGAACGCUGGCGGAAUGCUUUACACAUGCAAGUCGAACGGCAGCACGGACUUCGGUCUGGUGGCGAGUGGCGAACGGGUGAGUAAUGUAUCGGAACGUGCCCAGUCGUGGGGGAUAACGUAGUGAAAAUUACGCUAAUACCGCAUACGAUCUAUGGAUGAAAGCGGGGGAUCGCAAGACCUCGCGCGAUUGGAGCGGCCGAUAUCAGAUUAGGUAGUUGGUGGGGUAAAGGCCCACCAAGCCAACGAUCUGUAGCUGGUCUGAGAGGACGACCAGCCACACUGGAGAGGAGACACGGUCCAGCCUCCCACGGGAGGCAGCAGUGGGGAAUUUUGGACAAUGGGCGAAAGCCUGAUCCAGCCAUUCCGCGUGCAGGAUGAAGGCCCUCGGGUUGUAAACUGCUUUUGUACAGAACGAAAAGGUUUCUACUAAUACUAGGAGCUCAUGACGGUACUGUAGGAAUAAGCACCGGCUAACUACGUGCCAGCCGCCGCAGUAA
RNAcentral lists this ribosomal RNA (500 nucleotides) under uncultured bacterium. RNAcentral describes it as "partial 16S ribosomal RNA". It matches the Rfam family "Bacterial small subunit ribosomal RNA", at positions 30 to 523 of the family's 1533-position model. The record is from RNAcentral.